Long non-coding RNA from Lineus longissimus, 198 nucleotides. RefSeq lists it as uncharacterized. The transcript is spliced from 3 exons. NCBI's taxonomy places the organism in Eukaryota, Metazoa, Nemertea, Pilidiophora, Heteronemertea, Lineidae. The record is from RefSeq and is a predicted model, not a curated record.
GCAACUGCUACUUCAAAGAGCAACGGUGUACAGAUGCGCAACUCAAAUAUAUAAAUGAAACGAAAUACCAUUGGUACACAAAAAAUGAUCAAAAUUGCGCCUUAUCGCCGUCUCCUGUGUGUGAAUUCGAGCGAACUGACGGUCAAUACUGCCACUUCAGACCUCGUCCAUACGUCGCCAGGGUCUUAGCUAAAGUUU